RNAcentral lists this ribosomal RNA (497 nucleotides) under uncultured bacterium. RNAcentral describes it as "partial 16S ribosomal RNA". It matches the Rfam family "Bacterial small subunit ribosomal RNA", at positions 28 to 507 of the family's 1533-position model. The record is from RNAcentral.
GAUGAACGCUGGCGGCGUGCCUAAUACAUGCAAGUCGAGCGAACGGACGAGAAGCUUGCUCCUCUGAUGUUAGCGGCGGACGGGUGAGUAACACGUGGAUAACCUACCUAUAAGACUGGGAUAACUUCGGGAAACCGUAGCUAAUACCGGAUAAUUUUUUGAACAGCAUGGUUCAAAAGUGAAAGACGGUCUUGCUGUCACCUAUAGACGGAUCCGCGCUGCAUUAGCUAGUUGGUAAGGUAACGGCUUACCAAGGCAACGAUGCAUAGCCGACCUGAGAGGGUGAUCGGCCACACUGGAACUGAGACACGGCCCAGACUCCUACGGGAGGCAGCAGUAGGGAAUCUUCCGCAAUGGGCGAAAGCCUGACGGAGCAACGCCGCGUGAGUGAUGAAGGUCUUCGGAUCGUAAAACUCUGUUGUUAGGGAAGAACAUAUGUGUAAGUAACUGUGCGCGGCUUGACGGUACCUAAACAGAAAGCCACGGCUAACUACGUG